This is an RNA transcript of Oncorhynchus kisutch (coho salmon), 3682 nucleotides long. It is a transcript of the gene named serine/threonine-protein kinase tousled-like 1-B, with no coding region annotated. The record is from RefSeq and is a predicted model, not a curated record. The transcript has 20 exons. NCBI's taxonomy places the organism in Eukaryota, Metazoa, Chordata, Actinopteri, Salmoniformes, Salmonidae.
GUACAACAGCACAGGGCACUUCCAGACGCACUGCAGAGGUGUGAGGAGGUUAUGUCCAAAAUGUUAAAUUCCAACAUUUUGUGAGGUUACCGGUGCAGCUGGGCUUGUGUCUAAACAUUGCAAGGUUUCAAAAAUCACGAGAUUGUACUGCCACUGACAGCGGUGUUUGUUUGCUUUGUCGUUUCAAAAAGUAGCUUGAUGAGUGUCCAAAGUAACAUUGGAAGUUUGGAGGGGACGCCAUCUUGGUCCUAGCUCUCCACGUCCCCGACAACACCGGGGUUGCUUUCUCAGCAACAUAUCACGGCAGUGGUGAAGGCCAAGGCAGGCACCAUGGAGGAGCUGCACAGCCUGGACCCCCGGAGACAAGAGCUGCUGGAGGCUCGAUUCAUGGGUGGGGUCAGUGGCAGCACUGGGGGCAGCACUGGCAGCACCAGCGGGGGAACCAAAGCCUUGACAAACAAUGAAUGUUCAAAUCAAAGUUUUGGAAGCCUGGGGUCCUCCAGUGACAAGGAGUCAGAGAGCUCAGAUGUGAAAAGGGGGAGCUCUCCUGCAUACUCGACUCCUGAAAAGAAACACUCUGAAUCGUCCAGAGGAAGAAAGAGGAAACCCGACACCCAGUCGGAGAACAGCCAAGGGAAGUCUAUUGUGCGAGGACCCAAAAUUAGUGAUUAUUUUGAUGCCAGCUCUGAAAUGAACAAAACCGGACAUAAAGGAGGCUCUCUGUGCCAAUGUUGUUGCCAAGUGGCGGGCAAUGAUGUCACUCACACUGGUGGUCUCUCUCUCUCCAGUUCCAUGGAGGGAACGGGUCCAGUCCUGUGAGAGGUCUCCCCUCUGUGAUCCGCUCACCUCAGAACUCACAUUCCCACUCUGUGCAGGGUUCCAGUAUUGGGCAAAACAGCUCAUCGCCUACGAGUCUGUCUUUUGGGGAACAAGUGAUGCAUCCAAAGCAGUUGGCAAUCAAAUGUGUGCAGACUGACCUGACAGGGCUCAAGUUGGCUGCCCUGGAGAUGAACAAGAACCUGGACCUUGAGAAAAAAGAAGGCAGAAUUGAUGAUUUGCUUAGAGCGAACUGCGAUCUCAGGAGACAGAUAGACGAACAACAGAAAUUACUUGAAAAGUACAAAGAACGCUUAAAUAAAUGCAUCACCAUGAGCAAGAAGUUGCUCAUAGAAAAGAGCACCCAGGAGAAGCAGGCGUGCCGGGAAAAGAGUAUGCAGGACAGACUACGGUUAGGUCAUUUUACCACUGUGCGACAUGGAGCCUCUUUCACAGAGCAGUGGACCGAUGGCUUUGCCUUCCAAAACCUAGUCAAACAGCAAGAGUGGAUAAACCAACAGAGGGAGGAUAUCGAGAAGCAGAGAAAACUCCUAGCCAAAAGGAAACCCCCAUCGUCCAGCAACUCCCAAGCACCAACCACAAACUCUGAGCCAAAGCAACGCAAAACCAAGGCAGUGAACGGGGCGGAGAAUGAUCCCUUUCUGAAGCCCAGCCUACCUCAGCUGUUGACUCUAGCUGAGUAUCACGAGCAGGAAGAGAUCUACAAACUACGACUCGGUCAUCUCAAAAAGGAAGAAGCAGAAAUCCAGGUGGAGCUGGAGCGUCUGGAGAGAGUGCGGAACCUUCACAUUCGGGAACUUAAGAGAAUAAAUAACGAGGACAGUUCACAAUUCAAAGACCAUCCGACUUUGAACGAGAGAUAUCUGCUGUUACAUCUUCUUGGAAGAGGAGGCUUUAGUGAAGUUUACAAGAACCUUUCUGUUAUAGGCGUUUGACUUGAUUGAGCAACGCUAUGCUGCUGUGAAAAUUCAUCAGCUGAACAAGAACUGGCGGGAGGAGAAAAAGGAGAAUUAUCACAAACACGCCUGUCGGGAGUACAGAAUACACAAGCAGCUGGACCACCCCAGAAUCGUCAGGCUGUAUGACUACUUCUCACUGGACACAGACACGUAGGUUAACCUUAUUGUACUGACUAAUAUAUAUCUCAUCACUGCCCUUUACACAUUACUCAUUUUAUGAUGACCCCAAAGGUUUUGCACAGUUUUGGAAUACUGUGAAGGCAAUGACCUGGACUUCUACUUGAAGCAGCACAAGCUGAUGUCGGAGAAGGAGGCCCGCUCCAUCGUCAUGCAGAUUGUGAAUGCGCUCCGAUACCUGAACGAAAUCAAGCCCCCCAUCAUUCACUAUGACCUCAAGCCGGGUAACAUCCUGCUUGUUGAUGGCACAGCGUGUGGGGAAAUCAAAAUCACAGACUUCGGUUUGUCCAAAAUCAUGGACGACGACAGCUACGGUGCAGAUGGCAUGGACCUGACAUCACAAGGAGCAGGGACCUACUGGUACUUGCCUCCGGAGUGUUUUGUUGUUGGCAAAGAACCUCCAAAGAUUUCCAACAAGGUGGACGUGUGGUCUGUGGGUGUAAUCUUUUUCCAGUGUUUGUAUGGAAGAAAAGUACGUUUUUAAAGAGAACUGGCUUUAUUGAUUUACCAAAAUGAGUGUCUCGUAAAUAAGUUGACGCUGAGCCUUAUUUCUCUUUCAGCCGUUCGGCCACAAUCAGUCUCAGCAGGAUAUCCUGCAGGAGAACACAAUACUUAAUGCAACCGAAGUUCAGUUUCCUGUCAAGCCUGUUGCCAGUAAUGAAGCAAAGGCCUUUAUAAGGCGCUGCCUGGCAUACAGGAAGGAGGACCGGUUUGAUGUUCACCAGCUGGGAAGGGAUUCCUACCUGCUUCCUCACAUGAGGAGGUCCAACUCUUCAGGGAACUUGCAGAUGGGUGCCGGUGGCUCAGGACCUGCCGCCUCCAGCAUCAUUUUGUACUGAGGGCUGGUCCUGGACUGACUGAAUUACUGCCUGGCUACCCCACGCCUGCAGACCCCCCCCCCCCCCCCCCGUGUGUGGGGUAGCGGAGCUACAUGCCAACUAGUGGUGUACGGGAGGACAAGAGGGGGUCCAUUGGCCAUAGACACUGCAAACUGAAUGAUGUGGAGUUUGGCCUUCGCCUGGACUGUGCUGAGUUUCAAAUGGGUGUUUUCUAAAGACUAAUGAAAGGAUGUUUUAAAGAACAUAAGUGAAUGACCUUGUAAAAGGUUGAAUAGAGCACUGCUACAGACAAAGUAACUUGAAGAAAUGUGACUGGACACUUGAGUUUGUUUUGCUGGUGGAAGCCUUAUAGGACCUUAGGGAUAACUGGCAGCCUGCCGUUUUUAGAAUCGUUAACAUCCUCUUGCAAGGGUGCAAAUGCUUUAGCUGCGAAGAGUUUCCCUUUUCACCAUCAAUUUGGCUGUUUUUUGUUUUCAGCAAAAGUUUUAGGUUUUAAUUUGAGUUGUACAAUUAGCUAUGAGAAUGUAAUUUUAGCAUACAAGUGGUAUUGUCAUUUAGGCCCAGGCAGCAUACUAAUGUUGAAUGCACAAAAUAACCAAAUGUAGACAAAUGGCAAUGUACAGAAUAAUAUGCAGGAUGAUUUUAAAUAAUUCCUUCAAGAGUAAAUGUAUAUUUGCUGUACAGAAGAUUUUCAGAUUUGGAAUUGCAACUGUACCAUGGUUUAACUAUUUCCCUUGUACAUUUGUCAUUCAUUUUGCUGCUUUUGAUGUUACUUUUUAAAGGGCUGUAUGAUCCACUUUGGGUACAAUUGUACAGUUCUAUAAAAAGAAUAAAUGAUGACUAUGAUAAUAAAUACCAGGAAAUCACACA